GCGAGUAUGGCGGAACUGGUAGACGCAUUAGAUUUAGGAUCUAAUGGAUUUUUCCGUGCAGGUUCAAGUCCUGCUACUUGUA
This 82-nucleotide transfer RNA is filed under the name Jenufa perforata. Its description in RNAcentral is "tRNA-Leu". It matches the Rfam family "tRNA". Rfam says of the family: Transfer RNA (tRNA) molecules are approximately 80 nucleotides in length. The record is from RNAcentral. Lineage: Eukaryota; Viridiplantae; Chlorophyta; Chlorophyceae.